RNAcentral lists this ribosomal RNA (742 nucleotides) under uncultured bacterium. RNAcentral describes it as "bacterial SSU rRNA". It matches the Rfam family "Bacterial small subunit ribosomal RNA", at positions 67 to 850 of the family's 1533-position model. The record is from RNAcentral.
CGCACCCUUCGGGGUGAGUGGCGCACGGCUGAGUAACACGUGGGAAUCUGUCGUCCAGUGGGGGAUAACGCAUCGAAAGGUACGCUAAUCCCGCAUACGUUCCGCAAGGAAGAAAGGCGCAAGUCGCUGGAUGAGGAGCCUGCGGCCCAUCAGGUAGUUGGAGAGGUAACGGCUCACCAAGCCAAUGACGGGUAGCUGGUCUGUGAGGACAACCAGCCAGACUGGGACUGAGAACGGCCCAGACUCCUACGGGAGGCAGCAGUAAGGAAUUUUCGUCAAUGGGGGAAACCCUGAACGAGCAACGCCGCGUGGAGGAUGACGGUCUUCGGAUUGUAAACUCCUUUUAUGAGGGACGAUAAUGACGGUACCUCAGGAAUAAGCCCCGGCUAACUCUGUGCCAGCAGCCGCGGUAAUACAGAGGGGGCAAGCGUUGUCCGGAAUUACUGGGCGUAAAGAGCACGUAGGCGGUCACGCAAGUGGUGUGUGAAACCAAUCAGCUUAACUGAUUGACGCCAUGCCAAACUGCGCGACUCGAGUCAUGGAGAGGUUAUUCGAAUUGCUGGUGUAGUGGUGAAAUGCGUAGAGAUCAGCAGGAAGACCAAGGGCGAAAGCAGAUAACUGGCCAUGAACUGACGCUCAGGUGCGAAAGCGUGGGGAGCAAACUGGAUUAGAUACCCAGGUAGUCCACGCUGUAAACGAUGUAUGCUCGGUAUCUGUGUCUGUAAUGGAUGUGGGUACCUCA